RNAcentral lists this ribosomal RNA (474 nucleotides) under uncultured bacterium. RNAcentral describes it as "bacterial SSU rRNA". It matches the Rfam family "Bacterial small subunit ribosomal RNA", at positions 335 to 799 of the family's 1533-position model. The record is from RNAcentral.
ACUCCUACGGGAGGCAGCAGUGGGGAAUAUUGCACAAUGGGCGCAAGCCUGAUGCAGCCAUGCCGCGUGUAUGAAGAAGGCCUUCGGGUUGUAAAGUACUUUCAGCAGUGAGGAAGGCGGGUGUGUUAAUAGCGCAUUCGUUUGUACGUUAGCUGCAGAAGAAGCACCGGCUAACUCCGUGCCAGCAGCCGCGGUAAUACGGAGGGUGCGAGCGUUAAUCGGAAUUACUGGGCGUAAAGCGCAUGCAGGUGGUUUGUUAAGUCAGAUGUGAAAGCCCGGGGCUCAACCUCGGAAUUGCAUUUGAAACUGGCAGACUAGAGUACUGUAGAGGGGGGUAGAAUUUCAGGUGUAGCGGUGAAAUGCGUAGAGAUCUGAAGGAAUACCGGUGGCGAAGGCGGCCCCCUGGACAGAUACUGACACUCAGAUGCGAAAGCGUGGGGAGCAAACAGGAUUAGAUACCCUGGUAGGAUAGCG